Molecule: long non-coding RNA, 623 nt
Organism: Mangifera indica (mango)
Lineage: Eukaryota; Viridiplantae; Streptophyta; Magnoliopsida; Sapindales; Anacardiaceae
Exons: 2
Source: RefSeq, a predicted model, not a curated record
CUUCAUUUUAAACUAAAGCUUUCUCUCACAACAUACCAAAAGCUCUCCCUUCUCUCUAGCUCUUGGCCUUGGUGGCUUUUUGGCUUGGUGAUGCAAUCUUUUGGAGGUUCUUUCAUGUGAGAGACUUCUUCCAUCAUCCUACAUAAAAAAGGAAAGAGGAAGGAAUGCCCAUUUAGUUGGUGCCAAGUGGACAAUUAAAAAAAUGCGUCAUGUUAUAAGUGGAUUAAGAGGUGAACGAUCAUUCUUAUAAGGUAUAAGGUUGUUCCAAUAGUUAUUUUAUUGAAAUUCUAUAUAAAAAAAAUCAUGAUCUAUGAUUUGGCCUUACUCCCAUACGCAAAUACUCACUGAAACUAUUUCUUCUCACAUUAUUUUUCAAUUUCAAUCAUUAGGCAAAUGACUUGGAAAGGAGAUUUAAGGUUAGGAAAAUGAUCUUCAUCGAACCAUAUACACUUGGAAACCAAGUAGAAGUCUUGUUAUAUUUAAUGUAAUUUGAUUUCGGCCAAAAAUUAUAUUAGUUGUAUUGAUUUGAAUUUGAUUUUGACAUGAUGAGAUUUUAAUAUAAGAUUAAUGUUAGGUAAAAAAUGAAGAUUUGUACAUAAAGAGAAUAAUGAAAAUAGUAAAUG